Stylophora pistillata is the source of this 131-nucleotide long non-coding RNA. NCBI's taxonomy places the organism in Eukaryota, Metazoa, Cnidaria, Anthozoa, Scleractinia, Pocilloporidae. The record is from RefSeq and is a predicted model, not a curated record.
CUCCUUUUUGCAGACCUGCAGGUUGAUGUUGACAAUUUUGUCAACAGUUAUGGCAAAGCUGGAGCAGACAUGGAACAGAACUGCAGUAAGUUCCAUGCUGGAGAGGUUCUUUCAGCUUUAAGAUCAAAAGG